AUGGAUAGCUUAUUUGCUUUGUUGUAUAUACUUUGUAGUUUCAAUGAUGAUGCAUAUAUGUCAACUAUGGGUGUUGGCUCCAACAAUUCUCAUUGGUCUCAAACCAAUGAGAUGCAUUUCGAUGAUCGUGAGUUUGAGGUGGACGAGGAUGCUGAGGGCAUCGUCGAUGCACCGAAAGGAAGAGGGGGCAACUACACCAUGGACGAAGACAUCUUGCUAUGCAAUAUUUGGUUGCAAGUGUCGAGGGAUCCCGUGAUGACCCACAAGUAUAGGGGAUCAAUCGUAGUCCUUUCGACAAGUAAGAGUGUCGAACCCAAUGAGGAGCAGAAGGAAAUGACAAGUGGUUUUCAGCAAGGUAUUUUCUACAAGCACUGA
RNAcentral lists this ribosomal RNA (375 nucleotides) under Triticum aestivum (bread wheat). RNAcentral describes it as "partial small subunit ribosomal RNA". The record is from RNAcentral. Lineage: Eukaryota; Viridiplantae; Streptophyta; Magnoliopsida; Poales; Poaceae.